AGUGAACGCUGGCGGUAGGCCUAACACAUGCAAGUCGAACGGCAGCACAGUAAGAGCUUGCCCUUACGGGUGGCGAGUGGCGGACGGGUGAGGAAUACAUCGGAAUCUACUUUUUCGUGGGGGAUAACGUAGGGAAACUUACGCUAAUACCGCAUACGACCUACGGGUGAAAGCAGGGGAUCUUCGGACCUUGCGCGAUUGAAUGAGCCGAUGUCGGAUUAGCUAGUUGGCGGGGUAAAGGCCCACCAAGGCGACGAUCCGUAGCUGGUCUGAGAGGAUGAUCAGCCACACUGGAACUGAGACACGGUCCAGACUCCUACGGGAGGAAGCAGUGGGGAAUAUUGGACAAUGGGCGCAAGCCUGAUCCAGCCAUACCGCGUGGGUGAAGAAGGCCUUCGGGUUGUAAAGCCCUUUUGUUGGGAAAGAAAAGCAGCAGGUUAAUACCCCGCUGUUCUGACGGUACCCAAAGAAUAAGCACCGGCUAACUUCGUG
This 492-nucleotide ribosomal RNA is filed under the name uncultured bacterium. Its description in RNAcentral is "partial 16S ribosomal RNA". It matches the Rfam family "Bacterial small subunit ribosomal RNA", at positions 29 to 507 of the family's 1533-position model. The record is from RNAcentral.